GGAGACGUCGCAUAGUGGCCCAUUGCGAGAGGUUGCUAACCUCUUGUGUCGCAAGACACGCGUGAGUUCAAAUCUCACCGUCUCCG
Molecule: transfer RNA, 86 nt
Filed under: Candidatus Woesebacteria bacterium
Lineage: Bacteria; Candidatus Woeseibacteriota
Description: tRNA-Ser
Rfam family: tRNA
About the family: Transfer RNA (tRNA) molecules are approximately 80 nucleotides in length. Their secondary structure includes four short double-helical elements and three loops (D, anti-codon, and T loops).
Source: RNAcentral